RNAcentral lists this ribosomal RNA (481 nucleotides) under uncultured bacterium. RNAcentral describes it as "bacterial SSU rRNA". It matches the Rfam family "Bacterial small subunit ribosomal RNA", at positions 156 to 669 of the family's 1533-position model. The record is from RNAcentral.
ACGGCUGCUAAUACCCCAUAUGCCGCGAGGUGAAAUGAAUUUCGCCUGAGGAUGAGCUCGCGUCUGAUUAGCUAGUUGGUGUAGGUAAUGGCUCACCAAGGCAUCGAUCAGUAGCUGGUCUGAGAGGAUGAUCAGCCACACUGGGACUGAGACACGGCCCAGACUCCUACGGGAGGCAGCAGUGGGGAAUUUUCCGCAAUGGGCGAAAGCCUGACGGAGCAACGCCGCGUGAGGGAUGAAGGCCUCUGGGCUGUAAACCUCUUUUAUCAAGGAAGAAGAUCUGACGGUACUUGAUGAAUAAGCCACGGCUAAUUCCGUGCCAGCAGCCGCGGUAAUACGGGAGUGGCAAGCGUUAUCCGGAAUUAUUGGGCGUAAAGCGUCCGCAGGCGGCCCUUCAAGUCUGCUGUUAAAAAGUGGAGCUUAACUCCAUCAUGGCAGUGGAAACUGUUGGGCUUGAGUGUGGUANGGGCAGAGGGAAUUC